This 421-nucleotide ribosomal RNA is filed under the name uncultured bacterium. RNAcentral describes it as "partial 16S ribosomal RNA". It matches the Rfam family "Bacterial small subunit ribosomal RNA", at positions 355 to 793 of the family's 1533-position model. The record is from RNAcentral.
UGGGGAAUAUUGCACAAUGGGCGAAAGCCUGAUGCAGCAACGCCGCGUGAGUGAUGAAGGCCUUCGGAUUGUAAAGCUCUGUCUUUUGGGACGAUAAUGACGGUACCAAAGGAGGAAGCCACGGCUAACUACGUGCCAGCAGCCGCGGUAAUACGUAGGUGGCGAGCGUUGUCCGGAUUUACUGGGCGUAAAGGGUGCGUAGGCGGAUGCUUAAGUGAGAUGUGAAAUACCCGGGCUUAACUUGGGUGCUGCAUUUCAAACUGGAUAUCUAGAGUGCAGGAGAGGAGAAUGGAAUUCCUAGUGUAGCGGUGAAAUGCGUAGAGAUUAGGAAGAACACCAGUGGCGAAGGCGAUUCUCUGGACUGUAACUGACGCUGAGGCACGAAAGCGUGGGUAGCAAACAGGAUUAGAUACCCUGGUAG